Molecule: ribosomal RNA, 253 nt
Filed under: uncultured bacterium
Lineage: Bacteria
Description: partial 16S ribosomal RNA
Rfam family: Bacterial small subunit ribosomal RNA
Source: RNAcentral
GACGUAGGAGGCGAGCGUUAUCCGGAUUCACUGGGCGUAAAGCGUGCGCAGGCGGUCUACUAAGACAGGUGUGAAAUCCCCGGGCUUAACCUGGGAACUGCGCUUGUAACUGGUAGGCUUGAGUGUGGCAGAGGGGGGUGGAAUUCCAGGUGUAGCAGUGAAAUGCGUAGAUAUCUGGAGGAACACCGAUGGCGAAGGCAGCCCCCUGGGCUAACACUGACGCUCAUGCACGAAAGCGUGGGGAGCAAACAGG